GUAUGUUUGAAAGUUUGCAUCAUGACAGGGAAAAAGAAAAAAAAAGAAGACUUCUUUAACAGUUACUAGUCUUUUCAAAUAAAGAGAUAAUUCUAAUGACCAGAUUGGAAGUCUAAAUCAAACGUAUCACAUUAAGGAAUGUACCUUCAAGUUUGUUGUUAAAUUUUAAGUUGGUAAGCCUGACUUGCAGGCCAUUGAGGAUCAGAAUAAAAUGUGAUUUACUAAAGGAAUUGAAUGACAGCUUAUGGUCUGCAUUCAUUGCCACUGGAUAAUUUUUUUAAGACUUUAUUUUUUAGAGUCGUUCUAGGUUCAGAGCAAAAUCAAACGGAAGGUACAGAGAUUUCUCGUCUCUCCCCUGUCUGCACACUUGCAUAGUCUACCCUAUUAUCAAUAUUCCCCACCAGAGUGGUGCACUUAUUAAACUGAUAAAUUGUAUGUUGACCCGUCAUUGUCACCCUAAAUUGGUAGUGUACACUAGGGUUCACUCUCAGUCUUGUAUAUUCUGUGGCUUUGAGUAAAUGUGUAUGACAUAUAUCCACCAUUAUGAUAUAUACAGAAUACUUUCACCUCACUAGAGAAUUCUUGCUACUUCUUUGCUCCUGUUGAAUGAGGAGGUGACUCUGGUAGCCAUGUGUGGUUCCUUUGAACCUCAUGAGUGUGAUUCCCUAUAGGUAGAGCCAACGAGGAAGACUGAGGCCAGACCUCUCAUCUCACAGGGUACCUAGCUGUCCUCUAUCCCCACACCUCAGACUCCUCAGGAGAGAUGUCUGUGGAGCUGUGGAAAGGUACCUUCUUUAUGCAAAUGAAGAGACUAUGUGCUUGGAUUUUCUCGAUGACGAUUCCUGAUUCGUGGCCCUGGCAGUCUUGGGGAAGCGUUGUCGAGUUUCUUCAAUCCAGACCUUGGGGCCUCCUUUUUCUCCACAUCACUCCCACCCAGUUGAUCGAACCACUUUCUAGGACAUAUUUAGAGAGACAGUGGAGAUUGUUGGGCAUGAUUCUGAGAACCUGAGAUUGGCAGACAACAAAGACAUUCCUUCAGGAAGGAUGUGCUGCCCAGCUGCAUGGAAUGAGGCCAUCAGGCAACCUCCAGCUAUCAGCUCCUCCAGCACCUGCCUCAGCUGCAGAGACCACCUUGUCCAGUUCAUGUCCUCCCUGGCAAGUCUCAUCUGGUGACAGAAGCAAUCAAGCAGGCAUAGAAAGGCCAGGCCAUUUAGACCCAACGCAGCACAAACUGGAUGGACAAUAUUCACACUAGAGCUCCCUACUAGUAUGGAGCCCACCAUACAGUUCAACUUCUUUCCCUGGUCAAUCCUGCUCCUUUCUCUUCUCUUUGGUCUCUUUAAAAUUAUGGACCCUAACCUGUAUCUCUGCAUCUUCCUCCAGAAAACCCCAUCUGUAACAGGAAACUAAAUGACACCUAGGAUUAUAGAAGGCCUGUUUUAUUUUAUUUUUUUUAAUUUUUAUUUAUUUAUGAUAGUCACAGAGAGAGAGAGAGAGAGAGAGAGAGGCAGAGACACAGGGGGAGGAAGAAGCAGGCUCCAUGCANUUAAAAUCAUGGACCCUAACCUAUAUCUCUGCAUCUUUCUCCAGAAAACCCCACCUGUAACUAUAAACACCUAGGAUUAUAGAAGGCCUGUUUUAGAAGUAUGUAUAUCUCCCUAUUGUUCUUUCUACCAAAAAGACAAUACAAAUUAAGUAAAGCCUCACCUACAUAUCCUGUCCUAUCUCCCACUCUUAUCCCUAAGACAGAGAAAGACAUGCACAGAGUUGGAUAUUCCUCCUUAGGAAUAUAUACUUUAGUGAGUGUUCAAAUGUUAGGUUUUUUUCUCUUUUUGCACCGCAGCUUGAUUUCUGCUAAAACGCAAUCUCCCCGUUUUGUUCGAGAAUGAAUUCAAAUAACCAGCUCAAAUCAUUAUCUGAGUCAGAAAGGUAUGUAUCAUAAUAAUCUCAAUGUGUGGCAAGUGGGAAAUGUUCUUGGAAUAUUCCUAGACACCCCAUUCUGAGGAGGAAGG
RNAcentral lists this long non-coding RNA (2012 nucleotides) under Vulpes vulpes (red fox). RNAcentral's name for it is "lncRNA (ENSVVUG00000026568.1)". The record is from RNAcentral. Lineage: Eukaryota; Metazoa; Chordata; Mammalia; Carnivora; Canidae.